GAGGAAAUUACAUCACUUUUAAAAGAUGUUUGGCAGCAUAGAAGGGAGAUGAAGGAUACCAUGAUAAAGCAAAUAUUGUUUAUUUUUUAAAGAUAUGAGCAAUGUGCUUUAAAAUUUUUUUUCACUUAAUGUUUUUUCCCAAAUGUUUGGCAGCAUAGAAGGGAGAUGAAGGAUACCAUGAUAAAGCAAAUAUUGUUUAUUUUUUAAAGAUAUGAGCAAUGUGCUUUAAAAUUUUUUUUCACUUAAUGUUUUUUCCCAAUUACAUGUAAAGAUAGUUUUCAGUAUUCACUUUUAUAAUAUUUGAAUUCAUUUUUUCACUCCUUUUCAUCUUCUCCUUUCUUCCCAAGAUAGCAAGUAAUUUGAGAUAGGCUAUUAAAUAUGUUUCUAUACUAAUCAUCUUGUUAAAGAAAAAUCAGAACAAAAGAAACAAAAAUAAAAGUAGUAUGCUUCAAUUGUAAUUGAGACUCCACAGUGCUUUUUCUGGAUUUGGAUAGCAUUUUCCAUUAUGAGUCUUUUGGAAUUAUUUUAGAUCAUUGUAUUGCUAAGAAAAGUUAAGUCUGUCAAAAUUGAUCAUUGUACAGUGUUACUGUUACUAUGCACAAUGUUCUCCUGGUUCUGCUCACUUAAUUCAGCAUCAGUUCAUGUAAGUUUUUCCAGGUUUUUUGAAAUUCACUUCAUUUAUUACAGUUACAACAGUAUUCUUUUACAUCCAUAGACUACAAUAUAUUUGGCUAUUCCCCAAUUGAUGGACAACCCCUCAGUUUCUCAUUCUUUACCAUCACAAAAAAGGGCUACCAUAAACAUUUUUGUACAGGUGGGUCCUUUUCUAAUUUUUAAUGAUCCCUUCGAGACAGACUCAAUAGUGUUAUUGUUGGAUCAAAGGCUAUGCAGAGUUUUAUAGCUCUUUGGACAUAGUUCCAAACUGUUCUCUAGAAUGGUUGGAUCAGUUCACAACUCCAUCAGAAAUGCAUCAAUAUUCCAAUUUUCUCAGAUCCUCUCCAACAUUUGUCAUUUCCAUUUUGUCAUAUUAACCAAUCUGAUGUGGUUAACACAGUUGUUUCUUUUAAUCAAUAGAAAUGUAGAACAUUUUUCAUAUGACUAUAGAUAGCUUUAAUUUCAUCUGAAUUUCCUUUGACCAAUAACCAACUGGAUAAUGACUUGUAGUCUUAUAAAUUUGAUCAAGUUCUCUAUAUAUUUUAAAAUGAGGCCUUUCUCAGAAGUAAACAUUGUUUCCCAGCUUUCUGCUUCUUUCUAAUCUUGGUUGCAUUGGUUUUGCUUAUGCAAAACCUUUUAAAAUUAAUCAAAAUUACACAUUUUUUAUUUCAUAAUGUUCUCUCUUUUUUGGUUACAAAUUCUUCCCUUCUCCAUAUAUGAGUGGUAAACUUUCUUCUCUUUUAAUUUGCUUAUGGUAUCACUUUUUAUAUCUAAAUCAUAUACCCAUUUCAACCUUAUCUUGGUAUAUGGUGUAAGAUGUUGCCCUAUGCCAUAGUAUUUUUCCAGCAUUCCCAGCAGUUUUUAAAAUAGUGGGUUAUUCCAGGGAAGCUGGACUCUUUGGGCUUAUCAAACAGUAGAUUUCUGAAGUCAUUGAUUAUUGUGUCUUGUUUACCUAACCUAUUGUACUGAUCCACCACUCUCUUAGUAUCAAAUAGUUCUGGAUUGCUCCUUUAUAAUAGUUUUAGAUCUUGUACCGAGAAGCCACCUUCUUUUGCAUAUUUUUCACCAAUUCCCUUGUAUUCUUCCAAAUGUGUUUCAAAUUAUUUUUUUCUAGUUCUAUAAUUUUUUUGGUAGUUUGAUUGGUAUGGUACUGAAUAAGUAAAUUAACUUACGCAAAAUUAUCACUUUUGUAUUAUCUGUUUACCCAUGAGCAUUGAUAUUUUCUCAAUUAUCUGAUUUUAUUUGUUCAAGUAUUUUAUAAUUGUAUUUACAUAGUUCCUGAAUUUGUUUUGAUAGCUACACUGCCAAAUAUUUUUGUAUUCUACAGUUAUUUUAUUUUUAAUUUAUUUUUCAAUCAUUUUUCUAAAUACAUGCAAAGAAUUUUCAACAUUCAACAUUCAAAACCUUAUGUUCCAAAUUUUUUUCCUUCCCUUCUCUCAUCCCUCCCCAAGACAGCAAACAAUUGUAUAUAGGUUAAACGUACACUUCUAAACAUAUUUCCAUAUUCAUCAUGCUGUGUAAGAAAAAUAAGAUCAAAAGGAGGGAGGACAAAUAAAAGGUGAAAAUAUUAUGAUCCACAUUCAGUCUCUGCAUGUAACACUUUCCAUUACAAGUCUAUUGGAAUUGCCUUGAAUCAUCUUAUUGUUGAAAGGAGCCAAGUUUAUCACAGCUGAUCGUGUAAUUUUGUUGUUACUGUGUAUUAUGUUCUCUUGUCUUUCCAGGCUUUUCUGAAAUCAACCUGCUCAUCAUUUCUUAUAGAAAAAUGUACCUUCACAUACCAUAAUAUUUUUUUUCUUUUUUCCUUCAUCUCCUUUGAAUAUAGGUCUAGUUGAUGUGUAGAUUUAGAAACUUUUUGUGAUUUCAAAUUUCUUUAAAGAAUGGUUGUACUUCUUCACAGGUUCAAUAAUGUACCCUUUUUUAUGGUAUCUUUGGAUAGACCCAGUAAAGACACUGAUAAAAGAGGUACGUGGAGUUUUAUAACCCUUUGGGCAGUUCCAAAUUGCUCUUCAGAAUAGUUGGAUCAUUUCACAACUACCCACAAUGCAGUAGUGUUCCACUUUCCUCACAUAUUCUCCAACAUAUCUUACAAUCUGAGAGGUUAAGAUGGUAUCUUAGAGUUGUCUUAAUUUGCAUUUCUCUAUCAAUAGUGAUUUAGAGCAUUUUCAUAUGACUACAAAUGGCUUUAAUUUCAUCUGAAAAUUGUUCAUAUCCUUUGAACAGUUAUCUAUUGAAAAAUGACUUCUAUCCUCAUUAUAUAUUUUCAGAAAUGAGGUCUCGGCCUACUAUAAAAAUCAUUUCCCAGCUUUUUGCUUCCUAAUUUUGGCUGCAAUAGUUUUGUUUGUGCAAAAUCUUUUUAAUACAAUCAAGAUUUAUCUAUUUUGUAUUUCAGAUUGUUCUCUAAUUCUUUUUUGGCCAUAAAUUCCUUUCUCCACAGAUCUGACAAGUAGAUAAUCCCCUUGCUCUACUAAUUGUGACCUUAUCUUGGUGUAGGGUGUCAUGUUGGUCAAUUCCUAGUUUUUGCCACCAUUUUCCUGUUUUCCCAGCAAUUUUUGUCAAAGUGAGUUCUUAUCCCCAAAUCUGUAGUCUUAGGGUUUAACAAACACUAAAUUACUGUAGCCAUUGGCUAUUGUGCAUUGUGUACCUAACCCAUUCCAUGGAUCCACUAUGCUUUUAUUUCUUAGUAUCAAAUAGUUUUGAUGACUACCACUUCAUAAUAUAGUUUUAGGCCUGGUACAGCUACACUAUUUUCCUUUGCAUUUUUUCCAUUAAUUCCUUUUUGCCGAGGCAUUUAGAGUUAAGCCAUUUGUCCAGGAUCAUACAGCUAGGAAGUAUUAAGUGUCUUGAGACCAAAUUUGAACUCUGGUCCUCCUGACUUCAGGGUUGGUGCUCUAUUCACCGCACCACCUAGCUGCCCCUAUUCCUUUGAUAUUAACCUUUUGUCUUUUUAGAUGAAUUUUGUUAUUUUCUAGCUCUAUAAUUUCUUGGCAGUUUGGUAUGGCAUUGAAAAAGUAGAUUAAUUUAGGUAGAAUUGUCAUUUUUAUAUUAGGUUGGCUUACCUAUGGCCAAUGGGUAUUCUUUCAAUUGUUUAGAACUAUUUGUGUGAAGCACUUUUCUUCUUGGCAGGUAGACUCCCAGAUAUUUUAUACUAUUUAGUAUUUUAAAUGGGAUUUCUUUUUCUUACUGCUGGGCUUUGUUGGUAACAUAUAGGAAUGCUGGAUUUACAUGGGUCCAUUUUAUAUCCUAAAACCUUUCUAAAGUUGUUACUAAUAGGUUUUUUUUUUUUUAUUUUCUAAGUAUAUCCUUUGAUCAUCUGCAGUGUCUAUUCUAAUUCCUUUUUUUCCCUUCUCAUUGUUAUAGCUAACAUUUCUAGCACAAUAUUUAAUAGAAGUGGCAAUGGGCAUCCUUGUUUCUUUGAUCUUACUGGGGAGGUUUCUACUUUAUCCCCAUUAUGUUUGCUGAUGGCUUUAAGAAAACUCCAUUGAUUCCAAUACGCUUUAGUGUUUUUAAUAACAGUUGCUAUAUUUUACCAAAAACUUUUUUCUACAUCUACUGAGGUAAUCAUUUGUUAAUUUUGUUAUCGAAAUGGUCAAUUAUAACAAUAAUUUUCCUAUAUUGAACCAGCUUUGCAUUCCUGGCAUAAAUCCAGCCUGGCCAUAGCAUAUAAUUUUUGUUUCAUAUUUCUGUGGUCCAUUUGCUGACAUUUAAAAUCUUCACUAAAAUUGGUCUGUAGUUUUCUAUUUUGAGUUUCCCUAGUUUAGGCAUCAACACUGUAUUUAUAUUUUAUAAGAGAAAUUUGAUUUCUUUACCUUUCCCUCCCAAGCAAUUCAUGUGGCAUUAGAAUUGUUUUUAAGUGUUUGAUAGAAUUCUCUUGUAAAUCCAUCUGCUUCUGGCUGGAAUCACCACUCCCAAAGAUGCUACUAGAAUGCUCAAAAGGUACAACCAGAAUAGGGACACCGUAGAAGAUCAAGAAAAGGCUAUUGGACAGCUAUCAAGAUUUUUAAGAACUUUCCAAAGAGUAGUGAGGGCAAUCUAGACCUACAGGGAUUUAAAGAGAAUAACAAGGAAAGCAAAGUACUUUUAAAAGAUGUUAGGCAGUAAGGAAAGGUAGUGAGGGGUACAAGAUAAAGCAAGUAUUGUUAGCUUUUUAAAGAUUUAAGCAAUGUGCUUUAUUGAAGGUAAAGAGGGGAAUUACUGGAUGGGAACAGAUUGAAAUUAUUGCUGAAGGAAAUAAUAAACCUAGGAAGUGAAUUUCUUCAGGUAUCAGUGGAGAUAUCUAGGAUAUAAAGAAGAUAGCUAUAAAGAAAAGGAUAUAUUGAGGCCAAGAAAAAGGUUCAACAACCAGUUCAAGGUUUUGAGUUCAGAAACUGGGAGAUUCUUAGUAGAAGAAUGGAAAAUUAGGAUCUUGGGUGGUAUGAAGAAUUUCUUUUAAGAAUCUGGUAAAUAACUAGUUUUCAACCUAUUAUUGUGACAAGGGCAUGACUGAUGGACAGCAUGAAUCUUCUACAUUUUGAAUCUCAUUCUAAUACUACUGAAGUUCAAGAGCUGAAGAAACUAAAGGAGGACAAUCUAGGUUUGGUGUAGCAGGCAAAGCAGAAAAUUAAAGGGUAAGGCAAUAAAUUCUGAAGAGAGAGAUCCCUUGAUGAACUUAUGUCAACUUGAGGAUAUUAUCAGGACUGAGGCAGCCAGGACUUGCAUAUGAAAAAGACCUGAAUUCAAAUGCUGUCUCAGAUAUCAGAUGUGUGACUUGGCCAAAUCACAACUUUUAAGCCUCAAUUUCCUUCUCUGUAAAGUAGGACUAAUAAUAGCAUCUCCUUCCACAAGAUUGUUAUAAAAACUAAAUGAGACAAUAUAUGUAAAGUAUAAAGAUUAUGUUUAGCUAUUCAGUGUUAACAAGGGAUAUGUGUAUGUUGCAACUAUUCAACACUUACUCAAACCAGCUUUUAAAUAUCACUUUCAUCCCAGCUGUCCUACGCAGGAAAUAGCACUUGUGGUUAGACUGAAGUAAGAAUAAAGGGCAUGGUAGAGAGAACAGAAAUUGGGACCUUAUUCUGCAUAUAUACGUACACAAAGUUUUGAUCCCACUUAUGAUUAUAAUUUUUGAGGAAGUUUCAUGUGCAUUCCAUGCAGAUCAGCACCUGUUAGGCAAUUCAGAAUUGUCUAUAUUUCUAUACAACAUAUAUAAUGAACAUCUAUUUAACAUUCCUUAUAUAUUUACGAUAGCAAUAACUUAGUAGCAUACUUAAUGCUACACCCUCACCCCAAAUAAUGCACUCAAAUACACACUAUUAUAGCUAUCUAUCUAUAUAGUGCCUUAAGGCUUGCAAAAUACCUUUAAAAUAUUACAUUUUAACAUUGCACUUUUUUUUUUUUUUUUUUAAAGAUAUGCUUUAUUUUCAUUCUCUAUAUUUUUGGGAACUAAAAAGAGCCUUCCUCAAGGAUGGUAAAAUUGUAGUCUUGAGAAGUGAGUUGAGGCAGAUCAUUAAAAAAAUUUAUUAUAACAAUGAAGUUAAUAUUGAGUGGGGUAAAGAAGGUAGAGAAAGCUGACUUCUACUUCUUUAAAAACAAAAAAAAAUUAAGCUAAAAUUUAACAAAGUCUGAGAAAUUUUCAAAUUAUUUGAAACUAUAGCAAAAAAUGGAAAAGUUUCAUAAACUGACUACAAGAUAGUAAAAAUGUAAUUAUUGAUCCAACUCAAAAACAGGAUGGGAUAAAUGAAACCAUUCUACUGAGAUUAAUCAAUUCUGCAAUUUUCAGUUAAAAUAUUUUUUGUUUUGGUUUGAUAUUUUUGGUGGGGAGGGUACAAGGAUAAAAUUAUUUUUAAUAAUUUUAUAUUUGGGUGAGAAUAUAGUGUUUAUCUUCUACAGACUAUUCUCAUUUCAUUCUAUGAGAACAUUUUAAUGAAUGAGCAUGGAGUCAGAAAGCAAACUGUCCAAAAUGUUAUCUAGAGGUCGAAUAUUUAUUACAUUUGACUGACUAGUACCCAAGUAACAUAAAAAGGAGAUACAGUCCUUAUAAUCUUCAUCCACAAUCUUACCAUCAUAUUUAAUUUUUAAAAAUAAGAAGAAUCUUUCCUUCCCAACAUAGAUUAGUUACAAAUCAUAAUCUUAUCAGAGUUACUCCAUGGAGAAGUAAAUAUUAGUACUCAAUCAUGCAGAUUUAAAGAAACUCAACAUUGGUGAACUAAUUAAAUAUGUAGAAAGUACAUAUUAAGCACCUGUAUUCUUUAGAUCCUACUGCAGCUUCUUCUGUAAAUUAAUGUCUUUCUUACUUUGGAUUUAGUCUAAAUUGCAAAACUGGGGAUUGAAAAAGCAGAAAAAUUUUAAUCUAAAAGUCAACAUAUUUAAAACAUCUGGCUGCCUGUAACUAAUUAGGGCAGAAGGCAAAUUAAAUGUUUAAAUUUUAAAAAGCUUACAUUCAUUCUUUCACUUGCUCCCAAAUGCCAUUGAAUUUCAUUUCAGUUCUCACCUUAACACCACCCCCCCCUCACCCCCCCCAGGUAAAAUCAGCAUGCUGGGUUGUUGGUUCUCCAGGUAGAUCUCCAUCCUUGUGAAAGAUGGUGAACUGGAGCCGUACCAGCUGGCUAGUUGUAUUCUUCUAGAUUUAAUGGUGAUUGAGGCUCAAAAUAGAGAAUCCACAUAAGGGUGAAAAUACAUGUUUUCAAUCAUUCAUAAAAUUCUUUCCCUCUGAAUGUCUUCAGCUUUAUUCCUCUAAAGAAGUAUAAGCAGUUAAGUAACUGCAGAAAGAAAGAAAAAGUUCUAUCUAGAGAUCAAUGAAUGUUAUCAGUGAUAUAAUAACCAGUAUAGGGGCAAAUUUCUCAAAAAAAUCAUGAAGAUUUUGUGGAGUUGCAACAGAUAUUCUACAAUUUCACUCUUUACUAGAAAACAAAUAGAAAAACUUAAGUUCCUCUAUUCCAAUCCCUUCAUUUUACAGAAGAAACCAAAUUAAGCAAUUUGCCCAAGGUCAUACAAUGAACUGAAUAGAACAUGUGGAUGUUUGAUGCUGAAGAAAAAAAAAAUAGAUUAAACGGACUUGCUUUAAAUAAUUUAAAAACUUGCUGUGAGCUGAAAAAUUUGUAAAUUUAACUGAAAAAAUGUACUUUGAUAAAUUUAUCAAAUAAAUAAACAAUUUGAUAAAUUGUUUUCAGACAUUGCAGGAAAUUAUCAAAUAAUUGCUUUGAAAUAUUUGACAUAUUUUCUAUAUUUAUUGCUUGGAAAAAAUUUGUCAGAUUAAAACACAUAAUAACUAAGCUGAGCGAUAAAUCAGAAGCCACCCAGAGAUCUUGGAUGUAAAGAUCCUUUACAUAAACCUAUUCUGCUUAGAACAAAAAUUGGUACACAUCAAAAUAUGGUUCCUCCAGCAAAGGCAAAGAAUGAUGAAAAAUUUAAAUUUGUACUUUGGUUUAUAAACCAAUUCUCUUUUAAGUUUGCCUAGGAACAAAGAGCUUAUUUGAGUUUGAAUAGCUAACAAACUCCGGCUUGAUUGACUGCUGUAAUGAAGAUUAAUCCCAAAUUUUUUAAGUAAACAACCAGUAAAAGUGAAAAUAAAACUUACACACCUAACCCUCCCCCGUGGCAUUUUCCUGUUCAUUUCCAAUAUGCAAUAUUCUCAGUAUGUCCAUAAGGAAACCUUGCAAAAUAACUUUUGAAGCCUUCUCUAAAAGUCUGAUGGCAGCUGCAUAAGGAUCAUGUUUUAAUCUAAAAUUCUUUAAGCAGAAAUAAGAAAUUAUUGGACUUUUUCUCACCUUUCCCCAGCAAGUCAUCAAAAGACACACUUCAUCUACUGGUAAUUAAAAAUCUGACUUCUGCUGAGACAAAGAAAUUACUCCUAUUUAAUUACCAGUCAAAUCUGGCCAUUUUAUAGAGCUUUAUCAGUCUCCCUAACUUGACUGACAACAAAUAUUAUUAAGCUCUUGCUUAUUUUAACUUCUUUACUUCCAUGAAGGGGCAGCUAGAUGGCAUAGUCGAUAAAGUGACAGGCCUGAACUCGGGAACACUCAUUUUAUGAGUUCAAAUCUGGUCUCGGACAUUUACUAGCUGUGUGACCCUGGGCAAACUCUGUUUGCUUCAGUUCCUCAUCUGUAAAAUGAGUUGGAGAAGGAAAUGGCAAACCACUUUAGUAUUCAAGAAAACUCCACAUGGGAUCAUAAAGAGUCAGAUAGGACUGAAAAAUAACUCAACAAAAACUGCCCCCAUUGAGUGUCAUGUCUUAUUGUCUACAAUCACACCAAUUUUUUCUUCACUGCUCCAAACCUCUCUGAUGUUAAAAUUUUGGGGAACAAGAUGAGGAGAAAAGGGAAUGCUGUCUUAACAGAAUUAAACAAAACAAAACAAAAACUAUACAGACCUUGACCCCAUGGGGCUAACAGAAGAAUGAUACAAAACAGAUCCUGACAUUCUGGUUACAAGUUACAGAAGUACAAGUACUGUACAGGUUACAUAAAACACUCAACAUUUGUAAUUUUUAAAAGUUCUACAUUGUUAUAUCCUUAUAGUCUCAUUCUUUCUCUUACUGAUUGUUUAAAGUUUGAGGUUUCUAAAUUCACUAAGAUACUUUUGGAAAGUAAAUGCUUCAGAUCAGUUAUCUCAAAUUUCAGCUAUGUGUUUGUUUCACCUUUGUAGUAUUAAUUCGUUUGCUCCAAAGCCUUAUUUAAUCCAGUUAAAUCUAUCAUUCCAUAGAAAAAAAAGACUGCAUUAGGAAAAUACAUGUAGGGUCCAGAAGCAGCUUUCUUUCAAGCAUCUAUUUUAGGUUUUCUAAAGGUAGCUUACUGUUGACUGCUAUUAUCUUUGGAUAAAAUCAUUUUCUAUUAAAGAAAGAUGCAAACUUAUAAAGACUAAUAAAGACCAUUUAGGUUUAGCAUUAGUAUCAGGGCUCAGAUGCCUGCCACAUUUUUCACAUUUAUAUGGUUUCUCUCUCCAGAAGAAAUUAUCUAUCCAAGACCCAUCUCAACUUCCUCUAUCUCAGAAUAUAUUAAUAUAGCAUGUUCCUUUAUCAAAAUAUGUAAGUUCACUACAUAUCUAAAUGGUUUUCCUGGAUUCCAGCUUUCUGCCAGAUUGGAGGCAAAUCACAAUUUCAUAAUACUAGCAAAUUGAAUAUUUUCUUUUCUUUCUUCCUAGCAGAAUUGGUGCAAAACAUAAAACAAAAUCCUUCGAAGAAUUUCAUGGGGUCAACGAUAAACAUGACCUUAUAAAAUAUUUAAUUAUAUAGUGCUUUAAGGUGAUAAUUGACUAUUUAGACAUUUAGUCCAAAAUAACAUUUGAGGAAAGCAGUUUUUUCCUGACAGUAGACAAGAUGACAAAACUGGAGCAAAAGAAGGAAACCUUUUCGAAGUUCACCUACCACAGUAUAGACCUGGAUAAGUUGCUGAACAUAUUUUAUGAACAACUUAUGCAGUUGUAUAGUGCUUGAUAGCACUACUGAUUCAAUUAGGGUCUGUGGCACAAACAGCAUUCCAUCCUGAAAUACCUGAGGAAGGCCAACAAAGAGACACUUCCCAUAGAAAGCCCAAGAUAGUGAAGGUACACCUUUGACAUAUGAUUAUCCUGCCAAAGAUAGUGGGAAGUAUGGUGGAUGUCUAAAAUGGCAAGACUUUCAGUCAGGCAGAAAUUAAGCCCAAGAUGAUCAGAUACUAUUUGGGAGAAUUUUCUAACACCUACAAGCUUAUAGCCAGCUGGGUACUGGAGCCACUUACUCAAUCAAUUUCAUCCUUCUCACCUAAUCCAGAUCCUAACAAUAAGAAAAAGGUACUUAAAAAACAAACCAAAACCAAAAAACCCAAAACCAAAUUAACACUUUGGUGCUGAAGAAGAGUCCUUCAGUCUUU
This is a long non-coding RNA of Sarcophilus harrisii (Tasmanian devil), 10472 nucleotides long. NCBI's taxonomy places the organism in Eukaryota, Metazoa, Chordata, Mammalia, Dasyuromorphia, Dasyuridae. The record is from Ensembl.